This 65-nucleotide transfer RNA is filed under the name Setarhynchus sp. AH-2016. RNAcentral's name for it is "tRNA-Tyr". The record is from RNAcentral. Lineage: Eukaryota; Metazoa; Arthropoda; Insecta; Coleoptera; Curculionidae.
GGUAAAAUGGCUGAAUUUAGGUAAUAAAUUGUAAAUUUAUUUAUGAAUAUAUUAUUCUUUUACCA